This 250-nucleotide unclassified non-coding RNA is filed under the name plant metagenome. Its description in RNAcentral is "partial contains small subunit ribosomal RNA, internal transcribed spacer 1, and 5.8S ribosomal RNA". The record is from RNAcentral.
GUAGGUGAACCUGCGGAAGGAUCAUUAUCAUAACGUAUCCACGUAUAAACCAAUUAAUAUAAUGUGAAUUGUAAUGUUUUACAGCCUUUGAUAAUUAAUGAUUGCUAUUCAGUUUUUUGUCUGUGAUUAAGGACAAUUUGAAUAGACUUGGUUUCUCUCUUUCGGGGGAGUUCCCUAGCAUUAACUAUUGAAGUGUAAUUUAAUCAAUAUUAACCAAUUGAACCGAUUAACUUAAUUGUUAUUCAUUCUU